GCCACUGCCAUUGUCUACGGCCACACCACCUGGAAAACGAGAGAGACCCAAGCCGCGGCCCGUGGGCACGCUCAGCGCCACUGCUCCUGCCACAGUGACGGGCGCACUCUACAACUUUCAGGGCCCACAGCACCAAGAGGACAGGGAGGAGCCCUUGCUGCCUGGCUCAUGAAAGCCCCCUGUGGGAGAGCCCCAGGAGCGCAGGGCAUGUGGGGUGCAGGAAGCGCCUUUCCCCACGCCCCGGUGUAGGUGAACUCGAUAGAGGAGGGAGGAGGGUGACACCCACCAGGGGUGCUAAUUAGUAACCACAGUGGCCUCAAAGAACUCAAAUGAAAGGAAGACUUGCAAGUCUCUCACUUUAAGUCCAGAGCUAGAAAUGAUUAAGCUUAGUGAAUAUGUAGAAUUUUCAUAGCUAGAGAGAAGUCAACGCUUGGCUUCAAAACUUCAAAGGAUGGGCUGACUCUCUUUGAGGACCACUGCAGCUGGUGACUUUAAGUUACAGCCAGUGCUCAUUGACCACUCUGAAAAUCUCAGGGCCCUUAAGAAUUAUGCAAAAUCUAUUCUUUCUGUGCUCUAGAAAUGGAACAUCACUGUCUGGGUGACAGCACAUCUGUUAAUAGCAUGGUUUACUGAAUAUUUUAAUCCCACUAUUGAGACCUACUGCUCAGAAAAAAAAAAAAACGAUUCUUUUAAAAAGAUUGUUGGUUGGCCAGGCAUAGUGGCUCAUACUUGUAAUCCCUGCACUUUGGGAGGCCGAGGAUCACCUGAGGUCAGGAGUUCAAGACCAGCCUGGCCAAGAUGGUGAACGCAGUCUCUACUAAAAAUACAAAAAUUAGCCAGGCGCAGUGGCGGGCACCUGUAUUCCCAGCUACUCGGGAGGCCGAGGCAGGAGACU
Molecule: long non-coding RNA, 895 nt
Filed under: Homo sapiens (human)
Lineage: Eukaryota; Metazoa; Chordata; Mammalia; Primates; Hominidae
Description: HSALNT0352080
Source: RNAcentral